UGUCAAAAAUACUCUGUAAAAAUAAUUUAUGAAGGUGGUAGGAAGAAUUAACCUCGUUCGUUGAUGUAUAUUUUCUGGAAAGCCACAACACCUCAACGAAAAAGUGCCACGACUUUUUUUUUCAACCAAGCACUGCGUGAAGAUAUCCCCAAAUCUCAUCUGUCCAUGGAUCCAGUUUCAGCCAGCGUUCCUUUGGUCGUUGCCACACAGAGAAAAAUCUCUCCAUUCAUUCUCUCCAAAUCUCGCACCCGGCCACAACAAUCAUCACCACUCCACCUCCUCUCCCUCCCCUGUCGAGCUCAGAGCAGCGGCGCAACCUGAGCCAACUCGGCAUCUUGGACACGAAUCGCGUCACCAGCCCCUGGCUAUUCCCCAGCCCCACAGUUCAUCUUUUCCUCCCCUUCCCUCCGUCCGUCUCGAAAUCCUCGUCGUCGGGUAGAUGGCCAAUUUCUCGGGUCACCGUGUAUUCCCCUCAUCCUCUUUCGGUCUUUCCCUUCAUGAUGUGGACGAUAGUAUAUGCCAAGCGAUUUAGAUCGAGGCUAUUCAUGCAGAUGUUCCAAGCAAAUCGAGUGUAUAUAAACCGGUUGGAAUCAUCAUAAGGGAACGAUGUGGGACUAUUUGAGAAUAAUUUGAUCGGUUGCUGCUUUGCCUAAAUCCCAAUACACAAGCCCACCAAAUGGCAGGCCCAAGAGGAAGGCUAAUGUGCAGGGGUGAGUACGAGACGCCUGCGUGGGCAGAAGAACGCACGCGCUGAUAUUUUUCUUCCGAGACGAAACGUUUUCUUCAUAUAACGGUGGCAUUAACUGUAAUUUCAUCUGAAAAUUAGGGAUAAUUAAAAAACGGACGAAAAUUUUGGGGAGAAACCUUACUUCCUUUAUUAGUAGGUAAAGAUUUUGGCAUCCUAGCGAAUGACAGAUUUACUAAACACAAUCUAAUUAAAAAACACUUCACAAAGUGUGUUGGUACCUGUUCAUUCAAGAUCUCACUGAUAUAAAUGUCACACCUUAGGGCUUGGCCUUUUCCCCUUGAGGAACAAACAACCAACCACUGGAGCAGACCGCGUGGCUGAUAGAGCACGUCAGCCAUGAGCCCACGAGUGAUCCACGAAAGGGGAGGCGGAAAUAUCUACUGGGAAGCUGAGGCAGAAAAAACGAGGGCAUGAAUCGUUUGAGCGACUCAUACCCAAUCGCUAUUUGCUUGUGCGGGCUAUUGGCUGGCUAGGGGUGCUGCAAUAGCUUCACCAAUUUGGACUGAACAGUUAGCUUCCCUUGGCUAGGCAGCUCGACCGGUGUUGGGCGCAACUCUGCCUCUGAAUGGACAUGUAAUUUGUACAUCUUUAUUUGCUCUAUGCUGUGUAAAGAGAUUAUGUUAGUGUGAGUUGUGUUCGAUGUUUCUCAGAUCAAGAAAUACAUACCUAAUUAUACA
Molecule: long non-coding RNA, 1425 nt
Organism: Lolium perenne
Lineage: Eukaryota; Viridiplantae; Streptophyta; Magnoliopsida; Poales; Poaceae
Source: RefSeq, a predicted model, not a curated record